AGAUUGAACGCUAGCGGGAUGCUUUACACAUGCAAGUCGAGCGGCAGCACGGGUACUUGUACCUGGUGGCGAGCGGCGGACGGGUGAGUAAUGCCUAGGAAUCUGCCUGAUAGGUGGGGGAUAACGUUCGGAAACGGACGCUAAUACCGCAUACGUCCUACGGGAGAAAGUGGGGAUCUUCGGACCUCAACGCUAUCAGAU
RNAcentral lists this ribosomal RNA (201 nucleotides) under uncultured soil bacterium. RNAcentral's name for it is "partial 16S ribosomal RNA". It matches the Rfam family "Bacterial small subunit ribosomal RNA", at positions 26 to 226 of the family's 1533-position model. The record is from RNAcentral.